Molecule: non-coding RNA, 2240 nt
Organism: Nelumbo nucifera (sacred lotus)
Lineage: Eukaryota; Viridiplantae; Streptophyta; Magnoliopsida; Proteales; Nelumbonaceae
Source: RefSeq, a predicted model, not a curated record
UUCGACUUUUUUUUCCCAGAUCUCGGCGUUCUUCUCUCACCUCUGGGCUCUGCAUUUCUUCUCCUCCAUUCAGAUUUUCUCCUCUCACCUCUCGGCUCUGCAUUUCUUCUCCUCCAUUCCGUUUUUCUCCUCUCACCUCUUGGCUCUGCAUUUCUUCUCCUCCAUUCCGUUUUUCUCCUCUCAUACUAUAACUCUCCCACCGCUCCUGUCUCCCUUCAACUAUCUCUUCUGCCUCUCUCUCUCUCUCUCUCACACACACACACCAGUCACCACCGCUGCUGAGUUCAAAACGGCAACUAGUCGCCAUCGCAGUGAUGCCUUUCAAGCCCUAACAUAACCCGCCGAAGAGCCAAUCUUUCCCUUUCAGCACCGCCAAACAAAGGACUUCCUUGAGUCGUCUACGGGUAUUCUUCCGUAAAGGCACCAAGGCCUCCUGCAGGUUGUAUUCCACUCAAACAUUUGAGCUUAGUAACUUACAGCAGAAAACGAAAACCUGUUUCUGUCGUGUCCGCCGGUUUUCGCUUGCUUGUGUGGUAGGAGAGCCGCUAACUGUGUGAUGGCUGCGGCAGCUCGAUCAAUUGCUGGGUUCACGGAGUCUGUCAAGUAUGGUGUUUCGCUAUCGCCAGUUCCAAGCGGCCACUCCCUUGCCUCAGCUCGUUAUGGGUACCGGAUUUGCUCGCUGUCGACGAAUGGAUGCCGAGGAGACCCAAAAAUCCCAAUCAGAACUGUUGAGACCAGGACGUUUCCGGUGGUUGGAACACUAGCGAUGGCUAUGGAAAGUCUCAAGUUCAAACUGAUUGUUUGUAUGCUUGAUCAGUACUGUUGUUUGUGAUACUAUUUUUAUUGUUUUCCAGAUUUUGUUACCAAGACUAUGGAGAUUAUGGUGGGUAUGGUACUCCUGGAGUCACUAUCUGCCCUCAUCAGGGUACUUUUCUUGCAGAGAGCAUGAAAUGCUGUAGAUGUAUCAGUUGCAGCACCUUUUAAAGGAGCCAAGGGGCAGAAAGGCCUCAUAGAGCGUCAACUGGGACUUUUGGGUGCAAAGCCAAAGCCAGAUUAAUGCAGAGGUGAUUAAGGGACUUGACGAAGGGACUUUGAGCAUGAAAAUUGGUGGAAAACGUCGACUCUACAUGUACUGUUGGAAUGCCAUGAUCUCUGGACUUGCACUUCAUGGUUAUGGCCAAGCUGCUCUAAGACUAUUCGAUGGUUUGGUUGAGGAGGACUACCAGAUAUUUGAGUCCACGGAGGACUUUGGGGUCCUUCCCAAGAUGGAACAUUAUGCGUGUAUGGUUGAUCUUCUGGGUCGUGUUGGUCUCCUUGACCUUGCAUACAGUUUCAUGAAAGCCAUGUCGUUUGAACCUGGUGCUGUGUUAGGUGCUUUGCUUAGCUCUUGUCUGGUUCAUGGGGAUGCUGAGUUAGCAGAAACUGUAUCAAAGCAUAUCAUCGACAAGGCCGGUUGUCUGAGCGAUGGAGAAUACAUGAUGCUGUCUAACAUGUUUGCAUUGCAUGGUAGAUGGAAAGAAGCAGAUAACUGGAGAAGAAUGAUGAAAGAAGCAGGGAUUAGUAAAGUUGCUGGUUGUAGUACUAUAGAGAUCAAUGGUAGAAUGUACAAAUUUCUGGCCGGAGACGGAGAAUGUGGUUAAAGCUAGCUUGACGACAUCAAGACCUCAAGAAUACUUGAUUAGAAAAGCUGGGUUGUAUGAGUUCGCUUGAUAGUUGAUACUUGAUAUCAGCAUAUUAGCAUCAAUCAUAAACAUGUUGCAGGAAAUAAUACGCCGGCUGAUUCAAGGAGUGAAACCUAAUCAAAGGAAGUUGGGAAAGGAUGAUCAACGCGAACAAUGUCCUCUGUUACCAGCUCUACCAGCCUCCUACCUCUCAAGUCUCAACAAGAAUGCUUUGCUGAUCAAAGAUCUUGAUGUUCAUUCUGUAACUUGUUCACAGUUCUAUUUUCUUUAUCAACAUCUCCGUUUGCAAAUUGUCCAAUUGCUCUUCAUUUAAUUGUUCCCAGCUUCCAACCACGAUAGAAUUGGCAUUUGCUAAAAACAAUGAAAGUAAAAUAUAGACAGCGAGAAGUAUGGCAAAAACUCUGAUCAAAUAAAUGAAAGGCAAUGGAUACCCAGCACCUUCUGUAUAUAUUUCACAUAAAAUACAUAAGAUGCGUAUCAUUUCAAGGAACAGCUGACCUGACAGAUUCGAUUCAGGGACCCAUAAAUUACAAAAGAAAAAAAAAGAAAAAAAAACAA